GGGGCUGAUUCUGGAUUCGACGGGAUUCGCGAAACCCAAGGUGCAUGCCGAGGGGCGGUUGGCCUCGUUAAAAGCCGCAA
RNAcentral lists this transfer-messenger RNA (80 nucleotides) under unidentified. RNAcentral's name for it is "transfer-messenger RNA Xenor_bovie_SS2004". It matches the Rfam family "transfer-messenger RNA", at positions 1 to 82 of the family's 374-position model. Rfam says of the family: Bacterial tmRNA, also known as 10Sa RNA or SsrA, is named for its dual tRNA and mRNA-like properties. Its role is to liberate the mRNA from a stalled ribosome. The record is from RNAcentral.